RNAcentral lists this ribosomal RNA (417 nucleotides) under uncultured bacterium. RNAcentral's name for it is "bacterial SSU rRNA". It matches the Rfam family "Bacterial small subunit ribosomal RNA", at positions 770 to 1185 of the family's 1533-position model. The record is from RNAcentral.
UUACCGGAUUAGAUACCCUGGUAGUCCACGCCCUAAACGAUGCGAACUGGAUGUUGGGUGCAAUUUGGCACGCAGUAUCGAAGCUAACGCGUUAAGUUCGCCGCCUGGGGAGUACGGUCGCAAGACUGAAACUCAAAGGAAUUGACGGGGGCCCGCACAAGCGGUGGAGUAUGUGGUUUAAUUCGAUGCAACGCGAAGAACCUUACCUGGCCUUGACAUGUCGAGAACUUUCCAGAGAUGGAUUGGUGCCUUCGGGAACUCGAACACAGGUGCUGCAUGGCUGUCGUCAGCUCGUGUCGUGAGAUGUUGGGUUAAGUCCCGCAACGAGCGCAACCCUUGUCCUUAGUUGCCAGCACGUAAUGGUGGGAACUCUAAGGAGACCGCCGGUGACAAACCGGAGGAAGGUGGGGAUGACGU